Molecule: transfer RNA, 86 nt
Filed under: Flavobacteriaceae bacterium
Lineage: Bacteria; Pseudomonadati; Bacteroidota; Flavobacteriia; Flavobacteriales; Flavobacteriaceae
Description: tRNA-Leu
Rfam family: tRNA
About the family: Transfer RNA (tRNA) molecules are approximately 80 nucleotides in length. Their secondary structure includes four short double-helical elements and three loops (D, anti-codon, and T loops). Further hydrogen bonds mediate the characteristic L-shaped molecular structure. tRNAs have two regions of fundamental functional importance: the anti-codon, which is responsible for specific mRNA codon recognition, and the 3' end, to which the tRNAs corresponding amino acid is attached (by aminoacyl-tRNA synthetases). tRNAs cope with the degeneracy of the genetic code in two manners: having more than one tRNA (with a specific anti-codon) for a particular amino acid; and 'wobble' base-pairing, i.e. permitting non-standard base-pairing at the 3rd anti-codon position.
Source: RNAcentral
GCGCGCGUGGCGGAAUUGGUAGACGCGCUAGGUUGAGGGCCUAGUGGGAUUAAAUUCUCGUGGAGGUUCAAAUCCUCUCGCGCGCA